UAGGUAUAAUCCAGUUACCAAGAUGUGACUGUCAGGAGUGAAGGUGCUAUUCAGGUCAACUUCACAGUUGUUCAAUCCUCAACAGAUUUAAACAAUGAAUCAAAGAAAGAAAAGGAGGGCACCAGCACUGAUGACGCCAGCAAUCCAACUACUAAAGAGUUUGAAACCUUAAUUAAAGACCUUUCAGCUGAAAAUGGUUUGGAAUGCCUCACGUUACUCUCCUCCUCAAAUCUGGCUCUUUAUUGAUACCAUUCCUACAAAGAGGCAUCACGGUUCGUCA
Molecule: long non-coding RNA, 280 nt
Filed under: Homo sapiens (human)
Lineage: Eukaryota; Metazoa; Chordata; Mammalia; Primates; Hominidae
Description: non-protein coding lnc-TFB2M-3:1
Source: RNAcentral